UCUGAAUCUGCGAACGGCUCCGCAAACCAGUUGUAAACUAUAGCAAGCAGGCUCGGGGUCGGCCUUCACGGGCUGGCCUCGGGUGAUAUGGAUAACCCUGGUAAUUCUGAGGCUAAUACAUGAACGUAGAACCCGGUUGACUAGGCUUCACGGCCCGGGAUGCUGGGGGAUGUGCGAUUGGCAGGCUUGGGUAACACCGGGAAAGGGCGCGCGUCCAGACCGCGCUAUAAAGGAUGGGCUCCUCACGGGGCCUGCCCCAGCGGCUCUUGCUGUGUGCUUCUGACCUAUCAACUAGACGGCAGCGUAAGGGACAUG
Molecule: ribosomal RNA, 315 nt
Filed under: Lamproderma ovoideum
Lineage: Eukaryota; Evosea; Eumycetozoa; Stemonitida; Stemonitidae
Description: SSU rRNA
Rfam family: Eukaryotic small subunit ribosomal RNA
Source: RNAcentral